Meriones unguiculatus (Mongolian gerbil) is the source of this 998-nucleotide long non-coding RNA. RefSeq lists it as uncharacterized. The transcript is spliced from 3 exons. Lineage: Eukaryota; Metazoa; Chordata; Mammalia; Rodentia; Muridae. The record is from RefSeq and is a predicted model, not a curated record.
AAGAGCAGGUCUAAAGGGGAAGGAGGGUGUGUGGUCAGAGGAGAAGCAGAGUAAAGGGAGGGGCCUACUUUAGAGAGAACCUAGAACCGGAAGAUUAGACACUGCUGCCAAGCCUGCUCUGGGAUUGGACAGUCAAAAGGGCGGGUAAAAAAGGCUUAGUGGCGGGCACGCGCCUUAGUAACUGGAUGGAAAGUGAGCUGGUGUAAUUUUCUCUCAUUUUCCAGGCUGCUCGCAAGGGAGUCAGCUGAAGGCGCAGACUUCGCUCUUUCUCUGUCUUUCCUGACUCUGGCCCGGGGUUCCCCAGGCUCAACUGCUGCUCCACCGCUGAGGACAGCCCUGUCUCAGGAAGGAACCAUGAAAGAGGGAGCAAGCACCAAGCGCGGUCAUUCCCUGACUGUGACACUUUUACUUCUCCUGAGCUUCCUGCAAACCACUCUGUCCCAUGUGGAUUCCUUGGAACACAGAGGAUACUCCUUGAAGCCUGUGGUCUUUGCUGAGGGAGAGGUGGCAGCUUCCUGGAGAAUUGACCUGUCACUUCCUCUAGAUGAGAUAAGAUUUCCACAACCACCUAGAGAAGAGGAGAAGCCCCCUCACAGGGUAGGGAGGGAAGCGAUGUGUCCCUGCUAUGCAGCUCUCAAAACACAGGGACUUGUGAUGUCCCUGCAGCAAUGUCUCACUUCUGUAUAUCAGGUCUGACUGUGACUGUCCACUUUGUAACCUGGAGGGAAGGAGCUCACCUCAUGGUGUCUCCCUGAGGCCUGAUGCACCUUCUGACAGCCCAGUACCUGAGGCCUCUCUGUCACAGAACCCUGUGCCAUGCCGGGAGUCAGGCUGCCCUCUCUAAGAGGACCUGAAGGCCUACAGUGACACCUAAGACACUGUGGGUGUUGAUACCUCUCUGGGCAGGAACUGGAUUGGCAUGCAUGUCUCUGAUUUAGGCAGCUGAUUAUCUAAUUGGAUAAUCCAGUAGUGUUAAUCCAAUUAGAAACUGUCACUAA